This 237-nucleotide long non-coding RNA is filed under the name Monodelphis domestica (gray short-tailed opossum). RNAcentral describes it as "lncRNA (ENSMODG00000042811.1)". The record is from RNAcentral. Lineage: Eukaryota; Metazoa; Chordata; Mammalia; Didelphimorphia; Didelphidae.
GAAAGCAUCAUGAAUCUGCAAGAGAACAGAGAGGCCCAGAGGAGACGUCCUGCCCAGGAGGUGAGGCAUAGUUCAGACUGUUCUGUAAAGAAACCACAGACAUCCAGCCUGGCAGAGCACAAUUCCCUUGAUUCUUUAACUUUGGUACGAGUCAAUAGACAAUGUCCACCAACAUCUGGAAUGAGUAAUAAAUUUGAAGAGUUUGGACUUCAAAGGAGAAGAGAGAUGACUGAGUAA